RNAcentral lists this ribosomal RNA (206 nucleotides) under uncultured bacterium. Its description in RNAcentral is "partial 16S ribosomal RNA". It matches the Rfam family "Bacterial small subunit ribosomal RNA", at positions 568 to 774 of the family's 1533-position model. The record is from RNAcentral.
UGCGUAGGUGGUUUCUUAAGUCAGAGGUGAAAGGCUACGGCUCAACCGUAGUAAGCCUUUGAAACUGGGAAACUUGAGUGCAGGAGAGGAGAGUGGAAUUCCUAGUGUAGCGGUGAAAUGCGUAGAUAUUAGGAGGAACACCAGUUGCGAAGGCGGCUCUCUGGACUGUAACUGACGUUCAGGCUCGAAAGCGUGGGGAGCAAACA